This 303-nucleotide long non-coding RNA is filed under the name Eutrema salsugineum. RNAcentral describes it as "long non-coding RNA (ESAL_LNC001277)". The record is from RNAcentral. Lineage: Eukaryota; Viridiplantae; Streptophyta; Magnoliopsida; Brassicales; Brassicaceae.
GGAAGCCAGUGAUAUUCUCCUGAAUAAACAGAGAAGAAAGGUCAGAGAAGAAAGGAGAGAAGAUCACAUCUUUAUGGUAGUAAAAGCUUGGAUACCUCAAUUUUUGGACCAGUGGAUCAGCUUUGAUUUCUUCCUGAAAAAAGUUAUGAAUUUUGUAGGUAAUGUUCCAUUCUUUCUUCAGUUCCUUGAUGAUCGUAAUCCCAGGCUGAAAAAUCAGAACAUGAGCUAUGAGCAUAACCUCCGAGAACGAGAACCGAAUCAGUGGAUAAGAAACAUGAAAGAUUAGACCGAUGUAUUACGCUG